Molecule: non-coding RNA, 1089 nt
Organism: Phoenix dactylifera (date palm)
Lineage: Eukaryota; Viridiplantae; Streptophyta; Magnoliopsida; Arecales; Arecaceae
Source: RefSeq, a predicted model, not a curated record
AGUGCAUUUACAGUUGUUGGAAAGUAGAAGCAGUUGAACAUCUAAGUUUUCGAGAUUAUUUUGAUAAAUCUGACUCAGCAAAAGUGAUCGUAAAUCGAGGCCAAAAUACGUAUUCAGUACAGAUUGGGCUUAGACAGAUGCAUAACUCAGACCGCAUAUGCCCAACCCCGUCAUGGUCUGAUCGAAUUCACCAUUCAUUGAGUAUACUUGCACCGGAGCUACACAUGUCUACAUGCCACAGCUUCUAGAGCACAUUGGGGAUCAAAAUAAAGAAAGAUCAUGUGUAGUUGGGGAAGAAUUCCAAAAACUUUCCAAAUCGGGCGUUCCCUUCCCCAGCCGUCCGUGAUGUUUUUGUGCUUCCACCUCCCUCCGCGUGCGCCUCUUCCCAGCAUCCGCACGACCCAGCAAUCCGCGAUCACCUCCGAAGCAUUCGUCCCAUGUCCGUGAUCAUCUCCCGGACCUCCCAGCAGCCGCGAUCACCGCCCGGCCGUCUGCCACCGCCCAGCUUCUUCCCGGCCGUCCGCUCCUCUCGCACAACCAGAUCUGCAACGCGUCCCAGCUACCCCGUAAUCAUCCCGCGAUCAACGCUCCCAUGCCCGCGAUCAGCUCCAGCGCCCGAGCCUGUGAAGCCUCCCAGCAUCCCGUCUCCACCGUGUCCGCUUCUCCCGUGCUCUCAGCCAUCUGCCGUGAUACGCCCUCAAUCUCCUCCACAGCAUCCGCCCGAGCCGAAGAUCACAGCAUUCCGUGAAGCGUCGCACCCAUCAGCGCCGGAUUCACUCCGUUGUCACCUCCUCUCCACGCGCGAUCAGGGGAAUCCUAGCUUGUCCAUGGGCUCCGGGGCGAUCUAUAUGAAGAGGGCCUUCUCGGCUGGGAGGGGGGGCCGGCAUCCGAAGAGAAAAGAAGAGUGAAAACAGAGGAAGAAAGAGAGGGAAACAGGGUAUGCCCUGUUUCCGGAAAUAAAAAAAAGAGAGAAAUAGAAAAAAAAAAUAUGAGGAGGCUUAUUUCUUUGAUGGAGGGCUGAUAUCCUAGGUGAUGGGUGAAGGGAGAUCAUUUGGUGUACCAAAUUCUUGAUGUAAAUUCUAAUCUUUU